Molecule: ribosomal RNA, 459 nt
Filed under: uncultured bacterium
Lineage: Bacteria
Description: partial 16S ribosomal RNA
Rfam family: Bacterial small subunit ribosomal RNA
Source: RNAcentral
CCUACGGGUGGCAGCAGUGAGGAAUAUUGGUCAAUGGCCGGAAGGCUGAACCAGCCAAGCCGCGUGAAGGACGAAGGUGCCAAGCAUUGUAAACUUCUUUUGUCAAGGGACAAAAUCAGGCUCGAGAGCCUGACCGAGUGUACUUGAAGAAAAAGCAUCGGCUAACUCCGUGCCAGCAGCCGCGGUAAUACGGAGGAGGCGAGCGUUAUCCGGAUUUAUUGGGGUUAAAGGGUGCGUAGGCUGACUGUUAAGUCAGCGGUAAAAGCCCGGGGCUAAACCCCGGCGAGCCGAUGAAACUGGCUGUCUUGAGAUGUCGAGAGGGAACCGGAAGGCGCAGUGUAGCGGUGAAAUGCUUAGAUAUUGCGCAGAACUCCGAUGGCGAAGGCAGCAUACCGGCGGUGAUCUGACGCUGAGGCACGAAAGCGUGGGUAUCGAACAGGAGUAGAUACCCGUGUAGUC